GCCGGGAUGGCGGAAUCGGCAGACGCAGGGGACUUAAAAUCCCCCGAACGGAAGUUCGUGCGGGUUCGAGUCCCGCUCCCGGCACCA
This 87-nucleotide transfer RNA is filed under the name Actinomycetes bacterium. RNAcentral's name for it is "tRNA-Leu". It matches the Rfam family "tRNA". From Rfam's summary of the family: Transfer RNA (tRNA) molecules are approximately 80 nucleotides in length. Their secondary structure includes four short double-helical elements and three loops (D, anti-codon, and T loops). Further hydrogen bonds mediate the characteristic L-shaped molecular structure. tRNAs have two regions of fundamental functional importance: the anti-codon, which is responsible for specific mRNA codon recognition, and the 3' end, to which the tRNAs corresponding amino acid is attached (by aminoacyl-tRNA synthetases). tRNAs cope with the degeneracy of the genetic code in two manners: having more than one tRNA (with a specific anti-codon) for a particular amino acid; and 'wobble' base-pairing, i.e. permitting non-standard base-pairing at the 3rd anti-codon position. The record is from RNAcentral. Lineage: Bacteria; Bacillati; Actinomycetota; Actinomycetes.